This 269-nucleotide ribosomal RNA is filed under the name uncultured prokaryote. RNAcentral's name for it is "partial 16S ribosomal RNA". It matches the Rfam family "Bacterial small subunit ribosomal RNA", at positions 524 to 792 of the family's 1533-position model. The record is from RNAcentral.
UACGUAGGUGGCAAGCGUUAUCCGGAAUUAUUGGGCGUAAAGAGCGCGCAGGUGGUUGAUUAAGUCUGAUGUGAAAGCCCACGGCUUAACCGUGGAGGGUCAUUGGAAACUGGUCGACUUGAGUGCAGAAGAGGGAAGUGGAAUUCCAUGUGUAGCGGUGAAAUGCGUAGAGAUAUGGAGGAACACCGGUGGCGAAGGCGACUUGCUGGGCAGCAACUGACGCUGAGGCGCGAAAGCCAGGGGAGCAAACGGGAUUAGAUACCCGGGUA